This is a long non-coding RNA of Dreissena polymorpha, 1646 nucleotides long. RefSeq lists it as uncharacterized. The record is from RefSeq and is a predicted model, not a curated record. Lineage: Eukaryota; Metazoa; Mollusca; Bivalvia; Myida; Dreissenidae. The transcript is spliced from 4 exons.
UCGGACAAAAGCAAGUGCUAGCGCUAAGACUAAAAAAAAACAAGAGAUGCAAGGUACAGGCGUAAUAAAAGGGAAAGGAUAAUAGACAUUGGUAUUCAGUGUGAUCGAUGGAGAAGAGUUAAAGAAGCUACUGGGAUUGAAAAGGACGAGAAAAUGAUGGGAAUAUUGAUCGAUGCAACUACUUCUGAACUAGAGAGCUUCAACAAUCAUCUUUUGAUACGCUCCAAACCAAAGCGAAAUGCUUUCAGCUGUGCAGGUGUCAGUUAGCAGCAAUAGAUUAUUCAAAACACUUGAAUCGUCCUGUUUUGUUGGACAAAGAAGGAAAUGAGAGGAGAAAAAAGGUGUACUCAAAAGCUGCUUGUAAUUGGAGCACAAGGCCUGUGAAAAAAACAUACAUAACCGGUUUGAUCACUGAAGUUAUAAAUGAAUUCACCAUAGGCAAGAAAAGAAUAAGUGGCAAAUGUGAACAGCUGCCUGAAGACUCCAAAAGAAUUAGGUCAACUAUAGCCCCCGUCACCCCUCCACCUACAUCAAUACUUGGAGAUCAGCAUGUCUCUAGAUUGAGAAAAGCGAAAAAAUGAAUUGUUGCCCAAGACGUGUUUGAUAUUCAUUUGAAGUUGACGCAGAAGUUAUCUUUGUUAGAUAACUAUUAAGUUUCACAUCUUUAGUGUAAAUAUAAUUUUAGAAGUGUUUUGAAAAUGUACAAUCUUACAUUAUGUUAUAAAUAAUGAAUGCUCUUGGUUGUACAAUGCAAUGACAUUUUUUAGGAAGUUUUAAUAUUGAAUUUAGCAUAAAAUAUUUUUUUUAUGUUAUAUUUUGUGCGUUUUUUAUCAAUACAUUUUUAUGCUCCCACAAAAUUUAUUUUGGGGGGAGCAUAUAGUUGCCGCUUCGUCUGUCCGUCCGUGUGUCCGUCUGUGCACAAUUUUUGUCCAGGCUAUUUCUCAGAAAGUAAUGACCGGAAUUCAAUGAAACUUUAUGGGAAGCUUCACUACCAAGAGGAGAUGUGCAUAUUAUCAGCCGGUUCUCUUCAGAUGAUUUUUCACAGAGUUAUGGCCCUUUGAAAUUUUCCAUUGUACAUAUAGUGCAAUUCUUGUCCGGGCUAUUUCUCAGCAACUAAUGACUGGAAUUCUAUGAAAGUUUAUGGGAAGCUUCACUACCAAGAGGAGAUGUGCAUAUUAUCAGCCGGUUCUCAUCGGAUGAUUUUUCACAGAGUUAUGGCCCUUUGAAAUUUUCCAUUGCACAUAUAGUGCAAUGCUUGUCCGAGCUAUUUCUCAGCAACUUAUUACAGUAAUUCAGAGUUAUGGCCCUUUGAAAUUUUCUAUAAACUGUACAUAUAGUGCAUUUCUUGUCCAGGCUAUUUCUCCCCAACUACUGACCGGAAUUCAAUGAAGCUUUAAUCCAUCCAUCGUAUAAUUUUGUCCACAGUUAUGCCCCUUAAGACGUUUCCUUUUAUCUGAAUAUAUAGUACAAUAUUGUGACAAAAAAACACUUUUGGGGAGCAUCACCAGUCUACACCGGUUUCUUGUUACACAUGUAAAAAACACAAUUUUUCUUACAAAAUGUUUAGUUUUUUGUUUGAUUAUCGAUAUGUGUUUUUCAUUGCCUUCUUUAUUACCUGUAUUUAAUAAACCAUUGUAGUCAAUGUC